Molecule: ribosomal RNA, 275 nt
Filed under: uncultured Caldilinea sp.
Lineage: Bacteria; Bacillati; Chloroflexota; Caldilineae; Caldilineales; Caldilineaceae
Description: partial 16S ribosomal RNA
Rfam family: Bacterial small subunit ribosomal RNA
Source: RNAcentral
CCUACGGGGGGCUGCAGUGAGGAAUAUUGGGCAAUGGGCGGAAGCCUGACCCAGCAACGCCGCGUGGAGGAAGACGGCCUUCGGGUUGUAAACUCCUUUUACGGGGGAAGAGGAAGGACGGUACCCCGAGAAUAAGUCACGGCUAACUACGUGCCAGCAGCCGCGGUAAUACGUAGGUGACAAGCGUUAUCCGGAAUUACUGGGCGUAAAGCGCACGCAGGCGGCGCAUUAAGUCUGACGUGAAAUCUCCCGGCUUAACUGGGAGGGGUCGUUGG